AGUGAACGCUGGCGGUAGGCCUAACACAUGCAAGUCGAACGGCAGCACAGUAAGAGCUUGCUCUUACGGGUGGCGAGUGGCGGACGGGUGAGGCAUACAUCGGAAUCUACUUUUUCGUGGGGGAUAACGUAGGGAAACUUACGCUAAUACCGCAUACGACCUACGGGUGAAAGCAUGGGAUCUUCGGACCUUGCGCGAUUGAAUGAGCCGAUGUCGGAUUAGCUAGUUGGCGGGGUAAAGGCCCACCAAGGCGACGAUCCGUAGCUGGUCUGAGAGGAUGAUCGGCCACACUGGAACUGAGACACGGUCCAGACUCCUACGGGAGGCAGCAGUGGGGAAUAUUGGACAAUGGGCGCAAGCCUGAUCCAGCCAUACCGCGUGGGUGAAGAAGGCCUUCGGGUUGUAAAGCCCUUUUGUUGGGAAAGAAAAGCAGCAGGUUAAUACCUCGCUGUUCUGACGGUACCCAAAGAAUAAGCACCGGCUAACUUCGUG
RNAcentral lists this ribosomal RNA (492 nucleotides) under uncultured bacterium. Its description in RNAcentral is "partial 16S ribosomal RNA". It matches the Rfam family "Bacterial small subunit ribosomal RNA", at positions 29 to 507 of the family's 1533-position model. The record is from RNAcentral.